Molecule: ribosomal RNA, 492 nt
Filed under: uncultured bacterium
Lineage: Bacteria
Description: bacterial SSU rRNA
Rfam family: Bacterial small subunit ribosomal RNA
Source: RNAcentral
AAAGGAAUAGACGGGAGCCCGCACAAGCAGUGGAGUAUGUGGUUUAAUUCGACGCAACGCGAAGAACCUUACCAGGAUUUGACAUCCCAGGAACCCGGCGUAAUGGCUGGGGUGCCCCUUCGGGGGAAUCUGGAGACAGGUGGUGCAUGGUUGUCGUCAGCUCGUGUCGUGAGAUGUUGGGUUAAGUCCCGCAACGAGCGCAACCCUUACUGUCAGUUGCUACGCAAGAGCACUCUGACGGGACUGCCGUUGACAAAACGGAGGAAGGUGGGGAUGACGUCAAAUCAUCAUGCCCCUUACAUUCUGGGCUACACACGUACUACAAUGGCGAGGACAAAGGGACGCGAUGUCGCGAGGCGGAGCAAAUCCCAUAAAAAUCGCCCCAGUUCAGAUCGCAGGCUGCAACCCGCCUGCGUGAAGUCGGAAUUGCUAGUAAUCGCGGAUCAGCAUGCCGCGGUGAAUACGUUCCCGGGCUUUGUACACACCGCCCGU